Lycium barbarum (goji berry) is the source of this 538-nucleotide long non-coding RNA. RefSeq lists it as uncharacterized. Lineage: Eukaryota; Viridiplantae; Streptophyta; Magnoliopsida; Solanales; Solanaceae. The record is from RefSeq and is a predicted model, not a curated record. The transcript has 3 exons.
AGAAAUGGGUUUCUAGAAACCCUAAGCUGCGCCGCAGGUCGAACCUCUCUCUCUGUCUUGCAUCAUUUUGCUGAGAAUGGUAAAAACGCAGGUGUACGUUGCCUUUUUCAGGCUUGGCAUAGUUGAUUGAGGGAGGAGCAUUCGAAACUUGAAUUCCAUUCUCGAUCAAGGCUGCGCCAAAAAGAGAUGGCAUGAUAAGACGAUGUGUACCAGAAAUAGAAAUGAACAACAUCCAAAGUCAUUAUCAUGAUGGAGCUGUUGGAGGACACUAUGGAGGGAGGAGAACAACAGCUAAAAUACUUGAAGCUGGUUUUUUCUGGCCCACUCUAUUUAGAGAUGCAAGAAAUUAUGUUGCCGCUUGUGAUAAAUGCCAAAGAAGUGGUAACAUUUCAAAAAGGGAUGAGAUGUCUCUUAACUCUAUUCUUGUGUGUGAAAUAUUUGAUGUUUGGGGUAUUGAUUUCAUGGGUCAUUUUCCCCCUUCAAACGAUUCCGAAUAUAUUUUAGUGGUCGUUGACUAUGUGUCAAGGUGAGUAGAAGA